ACGCUAGCUACAGGCUUAACACAUGCAAGUCGAGGGCAGCGGGUUGAAAGCUUGCUUUCAAUGCCGGCGACCGGCGCACGGGUGCGUAACGCGUAUCAAACCUGCCUCAUACUCGGGGAUAGCCUUGCGAAAGUAAGAUUAAUACCCGAUGUUGUUACUUUCUCGCAUGGGAGAGUAACCAAAGAUUUAUCGGUAUGAGAUGGUGAUGCGUCCGAUCAGGUAGUAGGCGGGGUAACGGCCCACCUAGCCUUCGAUCGGUAGGGGUUCUGAGAGGAAGGUCCCCCACACUGGAACUGAGACACGGUCCAGACUCCUACGGGAGGCAGCAGUGAGGAAUAUUGGUCAAUGGGCGAGAGCCUGAACCAGCCAAGUAGCGUGCAGGAUGACGGCCCUCCGGGUUGUAAACUGCUUUUAGUUGGGAAUAAAAAAAGGGACUUGUCCCUUCUUGUAUGUACCUUCAGAAAAAGGACCGGCUAAUUCCGUGCCAGCAGCCGCGGUAAUACGGAAGGUCCAGGCGUUAUCCGGAUUUAUUGGGUUUAAAGGGAGCGUAGGCGGAUUGUUAAGUCAGCGGUUAAAGGGUGUGGCUCAACCAUGCAUUGCCGUUGAAACUGGCGAUCUUGAGUGCAGACAGGGAUGCCGGAAUUCGUGGUGUAGCGGUGGAAUGCUUAGAUAUCACGAAGAACUCCGAUCGCGAAGGCAGGUGUCCGGGCUGCAACUGACGCUGAGGCUCGAAAGUGUGGGUAUCAAACAGGAUUAGAUACCCUGGUAGUCCACACAGUAAACGAUGUAUACUCGCGGUUUGCGAUAGACAGUAAGCCGCCAAGCGAAAGCAUUAAGUAUACCACCUGGGGAGUACGCCGGCUACGGUGAAACUCAAAGGAAUUGACGGGGGCCCGCACAAGCGGAGGAACAUGUGGUU
Molecule: ribosomal RNA, 919 nt
Filed under: uncultured bacterium
Lineage: Bacteria
Description: bacterial SSU rRNA
Rfam family: Bacterial small subunit ribosomal RNA
Source: RNAcentral